RNAcentral lists this ribosomal RNA (387 nucleotides) under uncultured euryarchaeote. Its description in RNAcentral is "bacterial SSU rRNA". It matches the Rfam family "Archaeal small subunit ribosomal RNA", at positions 474 to 859 of the family's 1478-position model. The record is from RNAcentral. Lineage: Archaea; Methanobacteriati; Methanobacteriota.
CACUAGCAUCCUCGAGUGGUAGUCGCGAUUAUUUGGCUUAAAGCGUCCGUAGUCUGGCCGCUUAGUCCUCUGUGAAAUCCUGCGGCUUAACCGUAGGGCUUGCAGAGGAUACUGGCGGCCUUGGAGCCGGGAGAGGUCGGGGGUAUUCCUGGGGUAGCGGCGAAAUGCUAUAAUCCUGGGAGGACCACCGAUAGCGAAGGCACCCGACUAGAACGGGCUCGACGAUGAGGGACGAGAGCUAGGGGAGCAAACCGGAUUAGAUACCCGGGUAGUCCUAGCCGUAAACGAUGCGGGCUGAGUGUCUCCUGAACCUCGAGUUCAGGAGGUGCUGAAGGGAAACCGUUAAGCCUGCCGCCUGGGGAGUACGGUCGCAAGGCUGAAACUUAA